CGAGAAAGCCUUGGCUUGCCAGGGCGAGUAAAGUGGCGCACGGGUGAGUAACGCGUGGGUAAUCUACCCUCGAAUUUGGGAUAACACCUCGAAAGGGGUGCUAAUACCGGAUAACAUCAUCAUUUCUUCGGAGGUUAUGAUCAAAGGUGGCCUCUACAAGUAAGCUACUGUUUGGGGAUGAGCCCGCGUACCAUUAGCUAGUUGGUAGGGUAACGGCCUACCAAGGCAACGAUGGUUAGCUGGUCUGAGAGGAUGAUCAGCCACACUGGAACUGACACACGGUCCAGACUCCUACGGGAGGCAGCAGUGAGGAAUUUUGCGCAAUGGGGGAAACCCUGACGCAGCAACGCCGCGUGAGUGAUGAAGGCCUUCGGGUCGUAAAACUCUGUCAAGUGGGAAGAACCUACGUAAGGGUAAUAUUCUUAUGUACUGACGGUACCACUGAAGGAAGCACCGGCUAACUCCGUGCCAGCAGCCGCGGUAAUACGGAGGGUGCAAGCGUUAUUCGGAAUUAUUGGGCGUAAAGGGCGCGUAGGCGGUUUUGUAAGUCAGAUGUGAAAGCCCGGGGCUUAACCCCGGAAGUGCAUUUGAUACUGCGAGACUUGAGUAUGGGAGGGGGAAGUGGAAUUCCUGGUGUAGAGGUGAAAUUCGUAGAUAUCAGGAGGAACACCAGUGGCGAAGGCGACUUCCUAGACCAAUACUGACGCUGAGGCGCGAAGGCGUGGGGAGCAACAGGAUUAGAUACCCUGGUAGUCCACGCCGUAAACGAUGAAUGCUAGGUGUUGGGGUCUACGGACUUCA
This 801-nucleotide ribosomal RNA is filed under the name uncultured bacterium. RNAcentral's name for it is "bacterial SSU rRNA". It matches the Rfam family "Bacterial small subunit ribosomal RNA", at positions 67 to 842 of the family's 1533-position model. The record is from RNAcentral.